RNAcentral lists this ribosomal RNA (253 nucleotides) under uncultured bacterium. RNAcentral's name for it is "partial 16S ribosomal RNA". It matches the Rfam family "Bacterial small subunit ribosomal RNA", at positions 524 to 776 of the family's 1533-position model. The record is from RNAcentral.
UACGAAGGGGGCUAGCGUUGCUCGGAAUCACUGGGCGUAAAGGGUGCGUAGGCGGGUCUUUAAGUCAGAGGUGAAAUCCCAAGGCUCAACCUUGGAACUGCCUUUGAUACUGGGGAUCUUGAGUACGGGAGAGGUGAGUGGAACUGCGAGUGUAGAGGUGAAAUUCGUAGAUAUUCGCAAGAACACCAGUGGCGAAGGCGGCUCACUGGCCCGUUACUGACGCUGAGGCACGAAAGCGUGGGGAGCAAACAGG